GAUGAAGAACGUAGCGAAAUGCGAUAAGUAAUGCGAAUUGCAGAAUUCAGUGAGUCAUCGAGUCUUUGAACGCACAUUGCGCCCCCUGGUAUUCCGGGGGGCAUGCCUGUCCGAGCGUCAUUGCUGCCCUCCAGCCCGGCUUGUGUGUUGGGCCCCGUCCCCCUCUCCGGGGGACGGGCCCGAAAGGCAGCGGCGGCACCGAGUCCGGUCCUCGAGCGUAUGGGGCUUCGUCACCCGCUCUUGUAGGCCCGGCCGGCGCUUGCCGACACAUCAAUCUUUUUUCCAGGUUGACCUCGGAUCAGGUAGGGAUACCCGCUGAACUUAAGCAUAUCAAUAAGCGGAGGA
RNAcentral lists this unclassified non-coding RNA (345 nucleotides) under soil metagenome. Its description in RNAcentral is "partial contains 5.8S ribosomal RNA, internal transcribed spacer 2, and large subunit ribosomal RNA". The stretch from base 1 to 120 matches the Rfam family "5.8S ribosomal RNA", at positions 35 to 154 of the family's 154-position model. The record is from RNAcentral.